RNAcentral lists this unclassified non-coding RNA (369 nucleotides) under Artemisia subulata. RNAcentral describes it as "partial external transcribed spacer". The record is from RNAcentral. Lineage: Eukaryota; Viridiplantae; Streptophyta; Magnoliopsida; Asterales; Asteraceae.
UUUGGUUUGUCACGUGUGGUUGGCUGCGGCGUUUGCAACAACUUCCAUGCUUUCAGACCUCUUCAGUUGUGCGGCAAGGCUUGUAUCGCCUUGCUGUAUUGUGGGUUUUCUGUGUUGAAUACCUAAUCAAUGGUAUCGGUUGGAUUGAUCAAUGUUUCAUUUCGCCUGUCGUCGCAUUCGCGGCGUGAGACGAACCUCGAUGCGGUCUCUUUGGCCCACCUCGUUGAAGCACAUGCUUUGACGUUGUGGCACAUUGAGCAUUGCUUGGUCUCUUGUAUACGGAACAUAUAGUGGGCAUGGAUCUAACGAUUCUUGUUUGCCCUCAUGUUAGCGUAACGCUUCUCUUACACGACUUGCUCCACGUUUUAG